This is a long non-coding RNA of Atta colombica, 348 nucleotides long. RefSeq lists it as uncharacterized. The record is from RefSeq and is a predicted model, not a curated record. Lineage: Eukaryota; Metazoa; Arthropoda; Insecta; Hymenoptera; Formicidae. The transcript is spliced from 3 exons.
UCUGAUCUGGCAGCGUUCUUGAAAACGACAGACCCUAAUAUAGCGGACAUUAUCUCUAGUGAUGUCAGUGAAAAACAUGCAGGCACUAAUGAGCCUACUGAGUUGUGAGCAACGUUAUUUCGUCCUUGACUCUAGUAUGAUUUCUCGCAAGAACAAAGAUUUACAAUUGUGAAGGUAAAUUGAAGUACCUAUUGUAUAAUGGCCUCUGGCAUAAUUAUUAGCCGCAUCUUCCUUCCCGGUAAUCAUUUGUUCCGGAUGGAAUAAUUGUCUGACACUUGCCUACUACCGUUGGCUCGAGAUCGACCAAAACCGCUCGUGGGACAUGCUUCCCCGAACCAGUCUCGGAAA